GAUCAUGGCUCAGAUUGAACGCUGGCGGCAUGCUUUACACAUGCAAGUCGAACGGCAGCGCGGGCUUCGGCCUGGCGGCGAGUGGCGAACGGGUGAGUAAUAUAUCGGGACGUACCCAAGAGUGGGGGAUAACGUAGCGAAAGUUACGCUAAUACCGCAUACGAUCUAAGGAUGAAAGCAGGGGAUCGCAAGACCUUGUGCUCCUGGAGCGGCCGAUAUCUGAUUAGCUAGUUGGUGGGGUAAAGGCCCACCAAGGCAACGAUCAGUAGCUGGUCUGAGAGGACGACCAGCCACACUGGAACUGAGACACGGUCCAGACUCCUACGGGAGGCAGCAGUGGGGAAUUUUGGACAAUGGGGGCAACCCUGAUCCAGCAAUGCCGCGUGAGUGAAGAAGGCCUUCGGGUUGUAAAGCUCUUUUGUCAGGGAAGAAAAGGCUGUGGCUAAUAUCCACAGCUGCUGACGGUACCUGAAGAAUAAGCACCGGCUAACUACGUG
RNAcentral lists this ribosomal RNA (497 nucleotides) under uncultured bacterium. RNAcentral describes it as "bacterial SSU rRNA". It matches the Rfam family "Bacterial small subunit ribosomal RNA", at positions 15 to 507 of the family's 1533-position model. The record is from RNAcentral.